This 24-nucleotide non-coding RNA is filed under the name Arabidopsis thaliana (thale cress). Lineage: Eukaryota; Viridiplantae; Streptophyta; Magnoliopsida; Brassicales; Brassicaceae. The record is from RNAcentral.
UCAAGUGGAUGCUUCUUGGGUAGC